AAGACUAUACUUUCAGGGAUCAUUUCUAUAGUUCGUUACUAGAGAAGUUUCUCUGAACGUGUAGAGCACCGAAAGCCACGAGGAAGAGACAUAGCGUUUUCUCCUGAGCGUGAAGCCGGCUUUAUGGUGUUGCUUAGCUGCAACUGCCGUCAGCCAUUGAUGAUCGUUCUUCUCUCCACUUGGGGGAGUAAGAGGGAGAGAACGCGGUCUGAGUGGUUUUUCCUUCUUGACGGUUCAAUGAUAGCGCUAGUGUGCGAGGUCUCCGGGCUGUUCAGUUCGUGCGUCGCAUGUGGGGAGGAAGGCUUUUGCUUUCUGUUUCAGCGGCGAUGGCCGUCGUGUUUCGUCCGGGUGGGUUUUUAAUUUUAGGCUUCGGCGUGGGGGGUUGCUGUGUGGCACCUCCUAUUCUCUUUUUGCGUUUUCUCCCAUUCUCGCUGCCUCUUUUGUUGCCGUUUCCCGCCCGCCACUGCCACCUCCAGACGGGGUCUCCGGGUCUCUUGUCCUGUCUGGCGCGCAGGCUGGAGUGCAGUGGCGCCAUCUCGGCUCCUAGCAACAUCUGCCUCCCGGGCUCAAGCGAGUCUCCUGCCUAAGCCCUCCCGAGUAGCCGGGGUUUAAAGGCGCACA
Molecule: long non-coding RNA, 621 nt
Filed under: Pan troglodytes (chimpanzee)
Lineage: Eukaryota; Metazoa; Chordata; Mammalia; Primates; Hominidae
Description: lincRNA
Rfam family: Small nucleolar RNA U3 (bases 1-217)
Source: RNAcentral